RNAcentral lists this transfer RNA (118 nucleotides) under Chaetomium globosum CBS 148.51. It matches the Rfam family "tRNA". From Rfam's summary of the family: Transfer RNA (tRNA) molecules are approximately 80 nucleotides in length. Their secondary structure includes four short double-helical elements and three loops (D, anti-codon, and T loops). The record is from Rfam by way of RNAcentral. Lineage: Eukaryota; Fungi; Ascomycota; Sordariomycetes; Sordariales; Chaetomiaceae.
GGCAAGGUGGCCGAGCGGUCUAAGGCGCCACGUUAAGGAGUUUCAAAUCCUUGAUCCUGACUCUUGCGAGUCUUCCGUGGUCUCGAAAGGGGCGUGAGUUCGAAUCUCACCCUUGUCA